Molecule: ribosomal RNA, 495 nt
Filed under: uncultured bacterium
Lineage: Bacteria
Description: partial 16S ribosomal RNA
Rfam family: Bacterial small subunit ribosomal RNA
Source: RNAcentral
GACGAACGCUGGCGGCGUGCCUAAUACAUGCAAGUAGAACGCUGAAGGAGGAGCUUGCUCUUCUGGAUGAGUUGCGAACGGGUGAGUAACGCGUAGGUAACCUGCCUGGUAGCGGGGGAUAACUAUUGGAAACGAUAGCUAAUACCGCAUAAGAGUGGAUGUUGCAUGACAUUUGCUUAAAAGGUGCAAUUGCAUCACUACCAGAUGGACCUGCGUUGUAUUAGCUAGUUGGUGGGGUAACGGCUCACCAAGGCGACGAUACAUAGCCGACCUGAGAGGGUGAUCGGCCACACUGGGACUGAGACACGGCCCAGACUCCUACGGGAGGCAGCAGGAGGGAAUCUUCGGCAAUGGACGGAAGUCUGACCGAGCAACGCCGCGUGAGUGAAGAAGGUUUUCGGAUCGUAAAGCUCUGUUGUAAGAGAAGAACGAGUGUGAGAGUGGAAAGUUCACACUGUGACGGUAUCUUACCAGAAAGGGACGGCUAACUACGUG